RNAcentral lists this non-coding RNA (31 nucleotides) under Rattus norvegicus (Norway rat). Lineage: Eukaryota; Metazoa; Chordata; Mammalia; Rodentia; Muridae. The record is from RNAcentral.
UGGAGUGUUAAACCAAGCUUCUUGCGUGUAU